Molecule: microRNA precursor, 196 nt
Organism: Oryza rufipogon (brownbeard rice)
Lineage: Eukaryota; Viridiplantae; Streptophyta; Magnoliopsida; Poales; Poaceae
Rfam family: MIR812 microRNA precursor family
Source: Rfam
AUUAGAUUUACACCUUAAUAUAUCCGAUGUUUGAUUGUUCGUUUUAUUUGAAAGCCUUUUAUGAUUAGUACUUUUAUUGUUAUUAGAUGAUAAAACAUGAAUAGUAUUUUACGUGCGACUAUUUUUUUUACCUUUUUUUUUUCAAAUAAGACGUACGGUCAAACGUUGGACACGGAUAUCCACGAUUGCACUUAUU